UGGCCGAUGGGAAGCAGGACUAGAUUC
This 27-nucleotide non-coding RNA is filed under the name Homo sapiens (human). Lineage: Eukaryota; Metazoa; Chordata; Mammalia; Primates; Hominidae. The record is from RNAcentral.